RNAcentral lists this ribosomal RNA (479 nucleotides) under uncultured bacterium. RNAcentral describes it as "partial 16S ribosomal RNA". It matches the Rfam family "Bacterial small subunit ribosomal RNA", at positions 28 to 507 of the family's 1533-position model. The record is from RNAcentral.
GAUGAACGCUGGCGGCGUGCUUAACACAUGCAAGUCGAGCGAGAAGUUUUGAAAAGAUUCUUCGGAUGAAAUUUAAAAUGGAAAGCGGCGGACGGGUGAGUAACGCGUAGGCAACCUGCCCCAUACAAAGGGAUAGCAUUUGGAAACGAAUAUUAAUACCUUAUGAAACUUAACUAGUGCACGCUAGGUAGGUCAAAGAUUUAUCGGUAUGGGAUGGGCCUGCGUCUGAUUAGCUAGUUGGUGAGGUAACGGCUCACCAAGGCGACGAUCAGUAGCCGACCUGAGAGGGUGAACGGCCACAUUGGAACUGAGACACGGUCCAAACUCCUACGGGAGGCAGCAGUGGGGAAUAUUGCACAAUGGGGGAAACCCUGAUGCAGCAACGCCGCGUGAACGAUGAAGGCCUUUGGGUCGUAAAGUUCUGUUCUAGGUGAUGAAAACUGACAGUAACCUAGGAGAAAGCCCCGGCUAACUCCGUG